GACAGGUGAUGCAAGUGUUAUCCGGAAUGAUUGGGCGUAAAGCGUCUGUAGGUGGUUUACCAAGUCUGUUGUUAAAACUGACGGGCUUAACCCUGGAUACGGCAAUAGAAACUAGUAGGCUAGAGUACGGUAGGGGCAGAGGGAAUUUCGGUGUAGUGGUGAAAUACGUAGAUAUCGAGAAGAACACCGAUAGCGAAAGCACUCUGCUGGGCCGACACUGACAUUGAGAGACGAAAGCUAGGGGAGCGAAAGGG
RNAcentral lists this ribosomal RNA (254 nucleotides) under uncultured bacterium. RNAcentral's name for it is "partial 16S ribosomal RNA". It matches the Rfam family "Bacterial small subunit ribosomal RNA", at positions 524 to 776 of the family's 1533-position model. The record is from RNAcentral.